This 483-nucleotide ribosomal RNA is filed under the name uncultured bacterium. RNAcentral describes it as "partial 16S ribosomal RNA". It matches the Rfam family "Bacterial small subunit ribosomal RNA", at positions 30 to 507 of the family's 1533-position model. The record is from RNAcentral.
UUGAACGCUGGCGGCAGGCCUAACACCUGCAAGUCGCGCGGAUGAAGGGAGCUUGCUCCUGGAUUCAGCGGCGGACGGGUGAGUAAUGCCUAGGAAUCUGCCUGGUAGUGGGGGAUAACGUCCGGAAACGGGCGCUAAUACCGCAUACGUCCUGAGGGAGAAAGUGGGGGAUCUUCGGACCCCACGCUAUCAGAUGAGCCUAGGUCGGAUUAGCUAGUUGGUGGGGUAAAGGCCUACCAAGGCGACGAUCCGUAACUGGUCUGAGAGGAUGAUCAGUCACACUGGAACUGAGACACGGUCCAGACUCCUACGGGAGGCAGCAGUGGGGAAUAUUGGACAAUGGGCGAAAGCCUGAUCCAGCCAUGCCGCGUGUGUGAAGAAGGUCUUCGGAUUGUAAAGCACUUUAAGUUGGGAGGAAGGGCAGUAAGUUAAUACCUUGCUGUUUUGACGUUACCAACAGAAUAAGCACCGGCUAACUUCGUG